RNAcentral lists this ribosomal RNA (253 nucleotides) under uncultured bacterium. RNAcentral's name for it is "partial 16S ribosomal RNA". It matches the Rfam family "Bacterial small subunit ribosomal RNA", at positions 524 to 776 of the family's 1533-position model. The record is from RNAcentral.
UACGUAGGUGGCAAGCGUUAUCCGGAAUUAUUGGGCGUAAAGAGCGCGCAGGUGGUUAAUUAAGUCUGAUGUGAAAGCCCACGGCUUAACCGUGGAGGGUCAUUGGAAACUGGUUGACUUGAGUGCAGAAGAGGGAAGUAGAAUUCCAUGUGUAGCGGUGAAAUGCGUAGAGAUAUGGAGGAACACCAGUGGCGAAGGCGGCUUCCUGGUCUGCAACUGACACUGAGGCGCGAAAGCGUGGGGAGCGAACAGG